This 861-nucleotide ribosomal RNA is filed under the name Triticum aestivum (bread wheat). RNAcentral's name for it is "partial small subunit ribosomal RNA". The record is from RNAcentral. Lineage: Eukaryota; Viridiplantae; Streptophyta; Magnoliopsida; Poales; Poaceae.
AUGGAGGAGCAGGGGGAAGGAGAGAGGGAGGUACUGAGAGGAGGGCGGCGAAGAUUUUUUGCUAGUCCCGCCACCAGCAGGGUUUCGCCGGUGAUGUCGCAACCGUUCGUCGGCGCCGUUCGCGCGGGAGCAGGGUUGGGGAUUCUUGGGGGGCAGAGAUCAAUGAGUGGAUGCCAUGAACCCAACUACGACCCUGAUGACGGUUCGCGAAACACUGAGAGUUGCGAUGAGAGCAUUGCAUCUAGUGAUGAAGAAUCUGUUUCGACGAGGAAGAAGUUAUUAGAAGAUGCUUUAUUUGGUUUUUUAGAAAGGAGACCUAUGGCAAUCAAAUCACUCAAGAUUUUUCAAAAUUCUGCAAGAAUGUCGACCUCGAAACUGAGAUUUGUCCGCUGGAUUGUCGAAUGUGUAGACAUAAUGUCAUCUCAAAUCAUUGUUGCUAAUAAGAAGAUCAUUUCUAUCUCAAAGGAUUCAGUUCAUUGUGUGCUGGGCCUGCCAAACUGUGGUGAUUUAUCGACACAAGACAAGGAUAGUGUGAGGAACUUCAUUUUGCCUCGGUUCAGCUUGACGAAGAUGCCAAACAAUACUUUCUUUGGAGACAUGCUCAUAUCUUCUGAUUUCCUCAGUGAGGAAGACACUUUCAUAUGCUUCAUGGUGAUCGCAAUGUCGUGCUUCCUUUUUCCAUCUUCCAGGGAUCAGAUUCACACGGAGUUUUUGACCUUGCUUGUUGAUUCAAAGCACACAAGUGGUUUUGAUUUCUAUGCGCUUGUGUAUGAUUGUAUACUUAUUGGCAUCAUCAAGUAUGUGAUUUCUGGCAGAGUAACGGGCAGGAUACCAAAGGUGUUUGACUUUUGCUCGUACUGA